UGGCGACCAUAGCGUUGUGGACCCACCUGAUCCCAUGCCGAACUCAGAAGUGAAACGCAAAUAGCGCCGAUGGUAGUGUGGGGCUUCCCCAUGUGAGAGUAGGACAUCGCCAGGCU
Molecule: ribosomal RNA, 116 nt
Filed under: Vibrio sp. THAF64
Lineage: Bacteria; Pseudomonadati; Pseudomonadota; Gammaproteobacteria; Vibrionales; Vibrionaceae
Also listed under: 2 other names
Source: RNAcentral